UUGGUUAAGUUAGAAAGGGCGCACGGUGGAUGCCUUGGCACUAGGAGCCGAAGAAGGACGGGACUAACACCGAUAUGCUUUGGGGAGCUGUACGUAAGCGUUGAUCCAGAGAUUUCCGAAUGGGGGAACCCACUAUCUUUAGUCGGAUAGUAUCCUUACGUGAAUACAUAGCGUGAGGAAGGCAGACCCAGGGAACUGAAACAUCUAAGUACCUGGAGGAAGAGAAAGAAAAAUCGAUUUCCUGAGUAGCGGCGAGCGAAACGGAAAGAGCCCAAACCAAGAAGCUUGCUUCUUGGGGUUGUAGGACACUCUAUACGGAGUUACAAAAGAAAGUUAUAAAUGAAGCGGUCUGGAAAGGCCCGCCAAAGACGGUAACAGCCCGGUAGUUGAAAUGGCUUUCCCUCCAGAGUGGAUCCUGAGUACGGCGGAACACGUGAAAUUCCGUCGGAAUCCGGGAGGACCAUCUCCCAAGGCUAAAUACUCCCUAGUGACCGAUAGUGAACCAGUACCGUGAGGGAAAGGUGAAAAGCACCCCGGAAGGGGAGUGAAACAGUUCCUGAAACCGUGUGCCUACAAGUAGUUAGAGCCCGUUAAUGGGUGAUAGCGUGCCUUUUGUAGAAUGAACCGGCGAGUUACGAUUUGUUGCAAGGUUAAGCGGAAAAAGCGGAGCCGUAGCGAAAGCGAGUCUGAAUAGGGCGCAUAAGUAACAGGUCGUAGACCCGAAACCAGGUGAUCUACCCAUGUCCAGGAUGAAGGUAAGGUAAUACUUACUGGAGGUCCGAACCCACGCACGUUGAAAAGUGCGGGGAUGAGGUGUGGGUAGCGGAGAAAUUCCAAUCGAACUUGGAGAUAGCUGGUUCUCUCCGAAAUAGCUUUAGGGCUAGCCUCGAGGUAAAGAGUCAUGGAGGUAGAGCACUGUUUGGACUAGGGGCCCUUCUCGGGUUACCGAAUUCAGAUAAACUCCGAAUGCCAUGUACUUAUACUCGGGAGUCAGACUGCGAGUGAUAAGAUCCGUAGUCGAAAGGGAAACAGCCCAGACCACCAGUUAAGGUCCCCAAAUAUAUGUUAAGUGGAAAAGGAUGUGGGGUUGCUUAGACAACCAGGAUGUUGGCUUAGAAGCAGCCACCAUUGAAAGAGUGCGUAAUAGCUCACUGGUCGAGUGACCCCGCGCCGAAAAUGUACCGGGGCUAAACAUAUUACCGAAACUGUGGAUGAACCUCUUUAGAGGUUCGUGGUAGGAGAGCGUUCUAAGGGCGGUGAAGUCAGACCGGAAGGACUGGUGGAGCGCUUAGAAGUGAGAAUGCCGGUAUGAGUAGCGAAAGAAGGGUGAGAAUCCCUUCCACCGAAUAUCUAAGGUUUCCUGAGGAAGGCUCGUCCGCUCAGGGUUAGUCGGGACCUAAGCCGAGGCCGAUAGGCGUAGGCGAUGGACAACAGGUAGAGAUUCCUGUACCAGUGCUAAUUGUUUAACCGAUGGGGUGACACAGAAGGAUAGGGAAUCGCACGAAUGGAAAUGUGCGUCCAAGCAGUGAGUGUGAGAAGUAGGCAAAUCCGCUUCUCGCGAAGCAUGAGC
This 1570-nucleotide ribosomal RNA is filed under the name Listeria monocytogenes. RNAcentral's name for it is "bacterial LSU rRNA". It matches the Rfam family "Bacterial large subunit ribosomal RNA", at positions 1 to 1561 of the family's 2925-position model. Lineage: Bacteria; Bacillati; Bacillota; Bacilli; Caryophanales; Listeriaceae. The record is from RNAcentral.